UAUAUAUAUACGGGUCAAUAGUGAUGUAGGGAAUUAAACACAGGUAUACACAUGGGCCAGAAGUCAUGUGGGGAAGUAAACACAGGUAUAUAUAUAUACAGGUCAAUAUUGAAGUAGGGAAUUAAACACAGGUAUACACAUGGGCCAGAAGUCAUGUGGGGAAGUAAACACAGGUAUAUAUAUAUACAGGUCAAUAUUGAAGUAGGGAAUUAAACACAGGUAUACACAUGGGCCAGAAGUCAUGUGGGGAAGUAAACACAGGUAUAUAUAUAUACAGGUCAAUAGUGAAGUGGGGAAUUAAACACAGGUAUACACAUGGGCCAGAAGUGAUGUGGGGAAGUAAACACAGGUAUAUAUAUAUAUAUAUACGGGUCAAUAGUGAAGUAGGGAAUUAAACACAGGUAUACACAUGGGCCAGAAGUGAUGUGGGGAAGUAAACACAGGUAUAUAUAUAUAUAUAUAUAUACGGGUCAAUAGUGAAGUAGGGAAUUAAACACAGGUAUACACAUGGGCCAGAAGUGAUGUGGGGAAGUAAACACAGGUAUGUAUACACCCGUGCAUUAAUUAAGCACAAGCCUAUUUUGAAAAUAAGAUGUGAUGCUACAGAAAAGUUAGGGUAUAGCCAUCAAUUUAGUCAACCUGUAGUUAAAGAAGCUUUAUCCACUGACAGUUUUACAAAUACCAUAACCUUUUUUAUUCUUUAUGAAAGAAAAAUACGUGAUAAAAAUGUGACGGGACUGAUUUUUUACCCAAACUAAUUAUUCCUUUCCUGCUCAAACUACACAAUUCAGUUUUGACUAAAAAUAACAAUUCUGUUAUAUAUCAAGAUGACAUUUACACAUCAAGUAAGCUUUAAUUAUGCAUAUUCAGGAAGAACCUGAAUGUCAGAGAUUCAGACUUUUUUCCAACAAUGCAGAUUGCUAAUUGACAAAAACUGAAAAAAAGGCCACAUUAAUAAGAUUUUGGAAUACAUUUUUUUAUGAUUUUGAU
Molecule: long non-coding RNA, 990 nt
Organism: Haliotis rubra (blacklip abalone)
Lineage: Eukaryota; Metazoa; Mollusca; Gastropoda; Lepetellida; Haliotidae
Exons: 3
Source: RefSeq, a predicted model, not a curated record